GACGAACGCUGGCGGCGUGCCUAGUACAUGCAAGUAGAACGCUGAAGGAGGAGCUUGCUUCUCUGGAUGAGUUGCGAACGGGUGAGUAACGCGUAGGUAACCUGCCUGGUAGCGGGGGAUAACUAUUGGAAACGAUAGCUAAUACCGCAUAAGAGUAGAUGUUGCAUGACAUUUGCUUAAAAGGUGCAAUUGCAUCACUACCAGAUGGACCUGCGUUGUAUUAGCUAGUUGGUGGGGUAACGGCUCACCAAGGCGACGAUACAUAGCCGACCUGAGAGGGUGAUCGGCCACACUGGGACUGAGACACGGCCCAGACUCCUACGGGAGGCAGCAGUAGGGAAUCUUCGGCAAUGGACGGAAGUCUGACCGAGCAACGCCGCGUGAGUGAAGAAGGGUUUCGGAUCGUAAAGCUCUGUUGUAAGAGAAGAACGAGUGUGAGAGUGGAAAGUUCACACUGUGACGGUAUCUUACCAGAAAGGGACGGCUAACUACGUG
RNAcentral lists this ribosomal RNA (495 nucleotides) under uncultured bacterium. Its description in RNAcentral is "partial 16S ribosomal RNA". It matches the Rfam family "Bacterial small subunit ribosomal RNA", at positions 28 to 507 of the family's 1533-position model. The record is from RNAcentral.